UUACUUUGGUUUUCAUUACUUGGGUGUUU
This 29-nucleotide non-coding RNA is filed under the name Rattus norvegicus (Norway rat). The record is from RNAcentral. Lineage: Eukaryota; Metazoa; Chordata; Mammalia; Rodentia; Muridae.